This 63-nucleotide transfer RNA is filed under the name Eurhadina cuii. RNAcentral's name for it is "tRNA-Tyr". The record is from RNAcentral. Lineage: Eukaryota; Metazoa; Arthropoda; Insecta; Hemiptera; Cicadellidae.
GCUAAUGUGUCUGAUUAAGGUAGUGUACUGUAAAUACAUUUAUGAAUAUUUAUUCCUUUAGCA